RNAcentral lists this ribosomal RNA (254 nucleotides) under uncultured bacterium. RNAcentral's name for it is "partial 16S ribosomal RNA". It matches the Rfam family "Bacterial small subunit ribosomal RNA", at positions 524 to 776 of the family's 1533-position model. The record is from RNAcentral.
UACGAAGGGGGCUAGCGUUGUUCGGAAUUACUGGGCGUAAAGCGCGCGUAGGCGGUUUUGCAAGCCAGAGGUGAACUGCCUGAGCUUACCUUAGGAAUUGCCUUUGGGACUGCGAGGCUUUGAGGACGAGAGAGGUGAGUGGAAUUCCCAGUGUAGAGGUGAAAUGCGUAGAUAUUGGGAAGAACACCGGUGGCGAAGGCGGCUCACUGGCUCGAUACUGACGCUCAUGUGCGAAAGCGUGGGGAGCAAACAGG